CAGUCCGGGAGAACGGCAGGAAACCGGGAGGCCGCUCCGGCUGCAGCGCGGGACGCCGCGCGCACACCCGAAACUGAUUGGCGGACAACACGGAGGUGGCGAAAGUGUGGGACUCCUGCCUUCCAAGCAGUUUCCUGUUCCACAUGAAUAAUCCCAUCUGGAGUUUCCUGCAGAAACUUCGUGUUCAUCUACUAGCCUGACACCUGGCCUGCAGCACUCUCACGCACCUGCAUUCACCCACAGCUAUGUGGACCCCACAUAAUGGACUAAGGACUAUAAUUAGCCUAAUGCUACACCGGACCCAGUUCUACCAUGGAACGGAAACUCUGGACACUGGCUUCACUCUUAGCUCUUCUGAAUCCUCAGCUGCCCAUCUUCCAGGAUGGUUUAAGGGUAAUGGGACUUCGCAAACCUAGAGAUGUAAUUCCAUGCAAAUAAAGAUUACUCAUCCUCCCAUGCAAGUCUCAGAAAAUAUUCCUUCUCGAGAUAUCAUGAGGACCCAACCCCCAGCAUUCAGUGGGGAGAGGGAUACUCAGCUUCCACCAAGAACAUGAAAACAAUGUUUGACAGGAAAAGAAAUUGUGUCUCAUUUCUUGGGCACUCUGAGUCUCUUCAUGGGCCAAAUUCUCUCUUUCCACUCUAAGGUUUUGGGGAGAUCAGAUUUGUGCCCUUCAUUAGCCAACCAGUGGGGUCUCAGUGGAGAAGGAGAUUGGCUAUGAAAAUGCUGAGCCAUUGGUUUGACUGCUGAGCGUCACAGCCUGGCUGUACAGGGGUGGCUUUUAUCCACCUCCUCCAAAUGUUUGCUUCUUGCCUGAUUGAUGAGAGAUCCUAAGGCUCAUGGCUGGUGCUCACUGAGCUGUCAGCCUGCUUGGCUGUGUAGGCAGGCAAUACGGAAGUGGGGAAUGGAACUACUAGCAUUAAUUACCUGAUGGAGAGCCAGCCUUCAUGUUUUUCUGACAUGUAUUGAGUGGAUAAUAGAGAAAAUCUCAAUAGGAAUGAAAUAAAAAUAAUUUUCCAAAAUUAAUGAAAGCUCACAUGUCUGCAUUUUACCAUCACUUUGAGGGCAUCCUUAGAAAAUUAAAUUUAACAGAAUAAAACUGAGUAUGGACUGUAUAGUGGGGGUAUUGUAUCAAUGUUAAAAUUUUCUGAAUUUGAUAUUUGCCUUGUGGUUGUUGGAGAAUAUCCUUGACCAUAGAAGAUAUAUACUAAAGUUUACAG
This is a long non-coding RNA of Myotis davidii, 1218 nucleotides long. RefSeq lists it as uncharacterized. NCBI's taxonomy places the organism in Eukaryota, Metazoa, Chordata, Mammalia, Chiroptera, Vespertilionidae. The transcript is spliced from 3 exons. The record is from RefSeq and is a predicted model, not a curated record.